UACGGGAGGCAGCAGUGGGNNAUAUUGCACAAUGGGCGAAAGCCUGAUGCANCGACGCNGNNNGAGGGAUGACNGCUUCGGGUUGUAAACCUCUUUCAGUAGGGAAGAAGNGAAAGUGACGGUACCUGCAGAAGAAGCACCGGCUAACUACGUGCCAGCAGCCGCGGUCAUGNGUAGGGUGCGAGCGUUAUCCGGAAUUAUUGGGCGUAAAGAGCUCGUAGGCGGUUUGUCGCGUCUGUCGUGAAAGUCCGGGGCUUAACCCCGGAUCUGCGGUGGGUACGGGCAGACUAGAGUGCAGUAGGGGAGACUGGAAUUCCUGGUGUAGCGGUGGAAUGCGCAGAUAUCAGGAGGAACACCGAUGGCGAAGGCAGGUCUCUGGGCUGUAACUGACGCUGAGGAGCGAAACGAUNGGGAGCGAACAGGAUUAGAUACCCUGGUAGUCCAUGCCGUAAACGUUGGGCACUAGGUGUGGGGACCAUUCCACGGUUUCCGCGCCGCAGCUAACGCAUUAAGUGCCCCGCCUNGGGAGUACNGCCGCAASSUAAAACUCAAANNAAUUGACNNNNNNNCGCACAAGCGGCGGAGCAUGCGGAUUAAUUCGAUGCAACGCGAAGAACCUUACCAAGGCUUGACAUGUUCUCGAUCGCCGUAGAGAUACGGUUUCCCCUUUUGGGGCGGGUUCACAGGUGGUGCAUGGUUGUCGUCAGCUCGUGUCGUGAGAUGUUGGGUUAAGUCCCGCAACGAGCGCAACCCUCGUUCCAUGUURCCAGCACGUAAUGGUGGGGACUCAUGGGAGACUGCCGGGGUCAACUNNNNNNAAGGUNAGGACNACNUCAAAUCAUCAUGCCCCUUAUGUCUUNNNCUUCACGCAUGCUACAAUGGCCGGUACAAUGGGUUMCMAUGACCUGU
This 909-nucleotide ribosomal RNA is filed under the name Arthrobacter sp. RNAcentral describes it as "partial 16S Ribosomal RNA". It matches the Rfam family "Bacterial small subunit ribosomal RNA", at positions 340 to 1260 of the family's 1533-position model. The record is from RNAcentral. Lineage: Bacteria; Bacillati; Actinomycetota; Actinomycetes; Micrococcales; Micrococcaceae.